GUGGUGCGGCGGGCGGAGAGGCUACCGUUGCCGCUGCUGACGCCCGCUCCUGCUGCGGAGUCGCCCUCGCCGGAGCGGGAGGCGGCUGGCGCCCUGUCGCCGAGGGCCCAUGGCGUCGAACGCAUAUACUACCACCCCGACCAAAUCCAAGUGGCGCGGGAUCGAUUCGUGCUGCGGGAGUGCUGGACUACCUGCUGGACGCCGCCAUGAAGUAGGGCAACGCGCCGGGAGUCGCCACACGCACCGUGCCGAAUAUGGAGAUGGGCCAAUGGCCGGGCUGUUCAUUGCGUGCCGCUGCAUAGUGUUUGGCGCGACGACACCUAUGCGGAGGCGUUCGAGGUGGAUCCGGAGAAGGUGCUUGAAGCCAAGAAGCAAGCGGCAGCUGACCGAGCUCAACGAGGUAUCAGCACUCACAUGCCCAAUCCCAGUAGUUGUGCCAUUAACUGUGCUUUUUUGCGAUAUAGAACCACCACCUCUGUUACUGCAGCUCGUAUAGGUCUACCAGUAAUUGUUUUGAUGAUCUAAUUCAAGUAAUUCCUAUUCCUGCUGUUGUGCCACAAUAGGAAGAAGAGUUUUAGUGAAAUUCCAAGAAACAUGUAAACGCAUCCUUUAGAACCUUUCGAGCUCAAGCUCAAUAAAUAACAGAGGCCGCUCGCCGGGUGGUACCCGCUUGCGGGGCGCCUCGCCGUGUCCGACGACUCCGGGAGGCUCCACGUCGACUGCAGCGGAGAGGGCAUCUGGUUCAUCGAGGCCGCCGUGCGGUGCCGCAGCUCGAGGAUGUUGAGUACCCGCUGCAGAUCCCCAAGGACGACCUGCUCCCGCACCCGUUAUUUCAUUGCUUAAUUUGGACUUGUUUUGUUGCUCUGGUGUUGACUACCUGGCCAGGUCAUUGCAGAGCAGCUUCUUCCUCCAGGCUUCUGCGGAUCUCCUGCAGCGCCGCCACCAUGGGAGAUGAGACCUCGACCUCCGUUCCUGCCCAGGAGCAGGAACCUGCUGUGGAUGCAGGGAGUGUCAAGCAACACCUCAACAGGCUGGUCAUUUCAUCCCUCUGGGCUACGGUGCCUGAAGUUUCAGCAAAGUUUGCUAACUACCAGUGAGUUGAGAACCUGAACAAAUUCCGUAAAGAAGAGGGGUUUAUCCAACAUUGGUAUGCACUGAUCAGGCAUCUAGAGGUCUGGACUUGGAUGUUGACCAUGUCAUCAUGUUUGACUUCCCAUCGAAUUUGAUUGAUUACCUUCACAGAACUGCACGAACUAACUGCACGUGGGAGCCAAAGGGAAAGUUACAAGCCUUGUGGCUAAGAAAUAUGUGGCUUUAGCUACUCGGAUAGAAGAGGCCAUCAAGAAAAAUUAGAGCUUGGAAGCUCUAACGACUAACAAUGCCAGAAGAGCUACCAACACACAGAGUGCGAGCACCAAAGGAAGGACCUCAAGGUCGGUUAAGACUUCAAGUGCCCUUAAGUUGUGAAUCAGAGGGGUAGAAGGGGAGUUGUGCUAUCUGGCAAGUCAUUGAGGACUCCCAAGGACAGCACAUCAACCUGAAGGCGCUCACCGCCAAAGAUCCAGCCAAAAGCGACGAAAUCGACAGCCCCGCACAAAGCCAAUGUGGUGAAACCCGCCAAGAACAGCGUGAAGGUUUCAAAGAGCAAAGCAAAACCUGAGGGCUGAAAGGCCAAGGGCGAUGUUCUGAACAAGCUGGGAACUAAGCUCAGUGUGGUUGGAUUCAGAGGUUGCAGCUCGGGCAAAUCUGUGCAAUCUUUAUAAGAGGCCUGGAGAUUUUUUUAAAAAAAAUUUCCCCUGCUUAAGAAAGAGCUGUAGAUUUCAGAUAAUGCAUCAUCUGUAAAUAUCUGAGACUUUUUCAAUUUUUCCCUUGCGGUGCGGGCGUACAAGUUAAUUAUAGAGUAGAAUCAAGAUCUUAACACAGCACAUCUAUGUAAUACUUAUACAUAAUGUUGGGAUUAUGUUGUAUUGCCUGUGCCCACGAACGAGUGCAUCUAUGCUCAUUGUUUUUCUUUUGAAA
Long non-coding RNA from Panicum virgatum (switchgrass), 2019 nucleotides. RefSeq lists it as uncharacterized. The record is from RefSeq and is a predicted model, not a curated record. The transcript has 5 exons. Lineage: Eukaryota; Viridiplantae; Streptophyta; Magnoliopsida; Poales; Poaceae.